Molecule: ribosomal RNA, 468 nt
Filed under: Helotiales sp. 4 IP-2014
Lineage: Eukaryota; Fungi; Ascomycota; Leotiomycetes; Helotiales
Description: eukaryotic LSU rRNA
Rfam family: 5.8S ribosomal RNA (bases 153-306)
Source: RNAcentral
UAGGGUCGUCCCCCUCCACCCUUGAAUACCAUACUAUUGUUGCUUUGGCGGGCCGUGCGCCGCAAGGCGUGCCCCGGUCUCGGCCGGUGAGCGCCCGCCAGGGACUUAAAAACACUGUAAUUUUUGUCGUCUGAGUCUUAUACAAUCGUUAAAACUUUCAACAACGGAUCUCUUGGCUCUGGCAUCGAUGAAGAACGCAGCGAAAUGCGAUAAGUAAUGUGAAUUGCAGAAUUCAGUGAAUCAUCGAAUCUUUGAACGCACAUUGCGCCCUCUGGUAUUCCGGGGGGCAUGCCUGUUCGAGCGUCAUUAUGACCAAUCACGCAAGUGGUAUUGGGGCUUGCCGUGCGGCAUCCCUUAAAACAAGUGGCGGUGCCCUAGGCUCUCAGCGUAGUACACACGCCGCUGUUGAGCCCUAGGAGCACCCGCCAGGACCCCAACCUUUCUACGGUUGACCUCGGAUCAGGUAGG